This 293-nucleotide long non-coding RNA is filed under the name Eucalyptus grandis. Its description in RNAcentral is "long non-coding RNA (EGRA_LNC004174)". The record is from RNAcentral. Lineage: Eukaryota; Viridiplantae; Streptophyta; Magnoliopsida; Myrtales; Myrtaceae.
GACUGAGAACAUCUUGGAUUCACCUCAAGCUCCAAAUCGAACUUGGGUUGAUGCGCAUGCCAGUGAUGGCUCCAACCAGCAAAAUAUUAGAGUGGAGAUGGCCAAAGUCUCUACUGGGAAUUCUUCCAGCGGUGAAUCCAAUUCAAAGUCAUCAAUCGCCACUACUGAAGUGGGGAAUUCAUCAAAUUUCAUUAGCGAUCAGACAUCAACAGUAAAGGAUGAGAACACCAGCUCCGACAUGAAAGGUGAAGCAGAGAACAUUUUGAAACUACCCUCGAUGACGAAGGAGAAUG